This 496-nucleotide ribosomal RNA is filed under the name uncultured bacterium. Its description in RNAcentral is "partial 16S ribosomal RNA". It matches the Rfam family "Bacterial small subunit ribosomal RNA", at positions 30 to 523 of the family's 1533-position model. The record is from RNAcentral.
AUUGAACGCUGGCGGCAUGCCUUACACAUGCAAGUCGAACGGUAGAGUAGCAAUACUUGAGAGUGGCGAACGGGUGAGUAAUGCAUCGGAACAUGCCCAGUCGUGGGGGAUAACGUAGCGAAAGUUACGCUAAUACCGCAUACGAUCUAUGGAUGAAAGCGGGGGACUCGCAAGAGCCUCGCGCGAUUGGAGUGGCCGAUGUCAGAUUAGGUAGUUGGUGGGGUAGAAGCCCACCAAGCCAACGAUCUGUAGCUGGUCUGAGAGGACGACCAGCCACACUGGGACUGAGACACGGCCCAGACUCCUACGGGAGGCAGCAGUGGGGAAUUUUGGACAAUGGACGAAAGUCUGAUCCAGCAAUGCCGCGUGCAGGACGAAGGCCUUCGGGUUGUAAACUGCUUUUGUACGGAGCGAAAAGCUUUGGAUUAAUACUCCGAGGUCAUGACGGUACCGUAAGAAUAAGCACCGGCUAACUACGUGCCAGCAGCCGCGGUAA